GCCUGGCUAGCUCAGUUGGUUAAGCGUCUGACUUUGACUCAGACUGCGAUCUCGUAAUUCAUGGGUUUGAGUCCUGCAUCAGGCU
This 85-nucleotide transfer RNA is filed under the name Felis catus (domestic cat). It matches the Rfam family "tRNA". From Rfam's summary of the family: Transfer RNA (tRNA) molecules are approximately 80 nucleotides in length. Their secondary structure includes four short double-helical elements and three loops (D, anti-codon, and T loops). Lineage: Eukaryota; Metazoa; Chordata; Mammalia; Carnivora; Felidae. The record is from Rfam by way of RNAcentral.